Molecule: ribosomal RNA, 329 nt
Filed under: uncultured eukaryote
Lineage: Eukaryota
Description: partial 18S ribosomal RNA
Rfam family: Eukaryotic small subunit ribosomal RNA
Source: RNAcentral
CCCUUAGAUGUUCUGGGCCGCACGCGCGCUACACUGACGAUGGCAACGAGUUUUUCCUUCGCCGAAAGGUGUGGGUAAUCUUUUGAAACAUCGUCGUGCUGGGGAUAGAUCAUUGCAAUUUUUGAUCUUGAACGAGGAAUUCCUAGUAAGCGCGAGUCAUCAGCUCGCGUUGAUUACGUCCCUGCCCUUUGUACACACCGCCCGUCGCUACUACCGAUUGAAUGGUUUAGUGAGGACUCCUGAUUGGCGCCUCCGCCCCGGCAACGGAGCAGCGGACUGCCGAAAAGUUGUUCAAACUUGAUCAUUUAGAGGAAGUAAAAGUCGUAACA